RNAcentral lists this non-coding RNA (31 nucleotides) under Mus musculus (house mouse). The record is from RNAcentral. Lineage: Eukaryota; Metazoa; Chordata; Mammalia; Rodentia; Muridae.
UUCUCGGGAGCUGGCUCUCGUGCCAGAUAAA